GGGGAAUAUUGCACAAUGGGCGAAAGCCUGAUGCAGCAACGCCGCGUGAGUGAUGAAGGCCUUCGGGUUGUAAAGCUCUGUCUUUUGGGACGAUAAUGACGGUACCAAAGGAGGAAGCCACGGCUAACUACGUGCCAGCAGCCGCGGUAAUACGUAGGUGGCAAGCGUUGUCCGGAUUUACUGGGCGUAAAGGAUGCGUAGGCGGAUUUUUAAGUGAGAUGUGAAAUACCCGGGCUUAACUUGGGUGCUGCAUUUCAAACUGGGAAUCUAGAGUGCGGGAGAGGAGAAUGGAAUUCCUAGUGUAGCGGUGAAAUGCGUAGAGAUUAGGAAGAACACCAGUGGCGAAGGCGAUUCUCUGGACCGUAACUGACGCUGAGGCAUGAAAGCGUGGGUAGCAAAC
This 400-nucleotide ribosomal RNA is filed under the name uncultured bacterium. RNAcentral's name for it is "bacterial SSU rRNA". It matches the Rfam family "Bacterial small subunit ribosomal RNA", at positions 356 to 773 of the family's 1533-position model. The record is from RNAcentral.